GGUUUUUCUUUGAAGGAUGCAGAGAUUAUUUUAUUCCCCAAGUCAACAUUAUCUGCACGUGAGCCAUGUGGGCUGUCUCCUUAGUCUCUUCAUCUCCUUUCCUGGUGCUGAACCCUCCCCUCUUUCUUUUCCCUUUUGGAGAACUUAACACCUCUGGUUCCUGUGUCUGCACAAAGGUGGAAACCAUUGAAUCUUAACUCUCGAAUCCCCUCCUCCCUCUUCAAAAUCUCCCACUUGGUCACCCUCUGGCUCUUCUUUUGCGUCUGACUUUGAAAACUAAGUAACUAUUUUUCCUUCUACCAAAGAGAACCCUCCUAUUUGAACUCUUCAUUCCACUGGUGCUGCUGCCCCACACUUUGGUUAAGCUCCCAAUUCUAACUUGUCUUCUUGUUCUCUAUUUCUAUGGGUUUGUCUGGGAGACAAACCCAGGUUUCCUCCAUCUCUUUUUGCUAUUUUCUUUAUGAUAAAACCUCUCAGUGAAAAUCUCACUUAGUCUCUCUUCUUCAAGCAGAGAUUGGCAUCACCCCUCUUUUUAAUAUGUUCUUUACAUUGAACCAGGGCAGAACUUUUAUUAUUCUUCUAGACCCAUUUUACUUCUGUCUUGGAACUCUGUUAAUCCAAUUUACUUAAAUUAAGCUGUUUUCUAAAAGCACUACUCACAAAAAUUGUUUUUAAAAGUACUUUUUCCUUCUGCCUUCCAGCUCCCUCCACAUUUCUCCAAAGGAUGAGGGUGACCUGCCCAAAGCAUCACUUCUUCCCAUGCUGGAAGAGUCCAUGCGUGAAACUGCUGCGUCUUACUGCUGAGAACGGCAGCUAUUUGAUUGUGCCAUUGACACAGAAAGGGAGACCUUUAUCCUGAUUUCAGAUCCCAACAACAGUAAAUAGAGAAGCUCUUAAAGAGGAUUACAUGACGCCAUAUCUCCCUACUCUCUCAUUAGGACACAGAGGGGGCAUCGGAGGUGGAGGUCAUUGCAUUUUCCAGCAGGCCACAGGCUGCCUGCACACUGGGAGUGGGGACAGCGGCACAGCUCUGUGACCAUGAGGGGACCUCCAUCAGCCUGUUUUCCAGGCUGGCCUCCUCUAGGAGGCGUGGAGUCCAUACUGACAGCAGGGGUGUCCUCUGAGUGCUUUUCCUUUCUGUGAAACCUCUUUAAGUUAGUGGAUGGUUGCUCUUACAACAAGACAGUAUCUUACGUAAAGAUGUUUCCUAGGUGUUAAUGUUUGUUGAGUAAUAUUCAAG
This 1240-nucleotide long non-coding RNA is filed under the name Equus caballus (horse). RNAcentral describes it as "lncRNA (ENSECAG00000050795.1)". The record is from RNAcentral. Lineage: Eukaryota; Metazoa; Chordata; Mammalia; Perissodactyla; Equidae.